UGGGGAAUAUUGGACAAUGGGCGCAAGCCUGAUCCGGCCAUGCCGCGUGAGUGAUGAAGGCCCUAGGGUUGUAAAGCUCUUUCACCGGUGAAGAUAAUGACGGUAACCGGAGAAGAAGCCCCGGCUAACUUCGUGCCAGCAGCCGCGGUAAUACGAAGGGGGCUAGCGUUGUUCGGAUUUACUGGGCGUAAAGCGCACGUAGGCGGACUUUUAAGUCAGGGGUGAAAUCCCGGGGCUCAACCCCGGAACUGCCUUUGAUACUGGAAGUCUUGAGUAUGGUAGAGGUGAGUGGAAUUCCGAGUGUAGAGGUGAAAUUCGUAGAUAUUCGGAGGAACACCAGUGGCGAAGGCGGCUCACUGGACCAUUACUGACGCUGAGGUGCGAAAGCGUGGGGAGCAAACAGG
RNAcentral lists this ribosomal RNA (404 nucleotides) under Pseudomonas sp. RNAcentral describes it as "partial 16S ribosomal RNA". It matches the Rfam family "Bacterial small subunit ribosomal RNA", at positions 355 to 776 of the family's 1533-position model. RNAcentral also lists the same sequence under 3 other names. The record is from RNAcentral. Lineage: Bacteria; Pseudomonadati; Pseudomonadota; Gammaproteobacteria; Pseudomonadales; Pseudomonadaceae.